UACGGGGGGGGCAAGCGUUGUUCGGAAUUACUGGGCGUAAAGGGCUCGUAGGCGGCCAACUAAGUCGGAUGUGAAAUCCCCAGGCUCAACUUGGGAACUGCAUCCGAUACUGGAUGGCUUGAAUUCGGGAGAGGGAUGCAGAAUUCCAGGUGUAGCGGUGAAAUGCGCAGAUAUCAGGAGGAACACCUAUUGCGAAGGCAGCUCGCUGGGACGUUACUGACGCUGAGACGCGAAAGCGUGGGGAGCAAACAGG
Molecule: ribosomal RNA, 253 nt
Filed under: uncultured bacterium
Lineage: Bacteria
Description: partial 16S ribosomal RNA
Rfam family: Bacterial small subunit ribosomal RNA
Source: RNAcentral